This 441-nucleotide ribosomal RNA is filed under the name uncultured bacterium. RNAcentral describes it as "bacterial SSU rRNA". It matches the Rfam family "Bacterial small subunit ribosomal RNA", at positions 955 to 1395 of the family's 1533-position model. The record is from RNAcentral.
CUUAACGCGAAGAACCUUACCAAGGCUUGACAUGAACCGGUAAGACCUGGAAACAGGUCCCCCACUUGUGGCCGGUUUACAGGUGGUGCAUGGUUGUCGUCAGCUCGUGUCGUGAGAUGUUGGGUUAAGUCCCGCAACGAGCGCAACCCUCGUUCCAUGUUGCCAGCGCGUUAUGGCGGGGACUCAUGGGAGACUGCCGGGGUCGACUCGGAGGAAGGUGGGGACGACGUCAAAUCAUCAUGCCCCUUAUGUCUUGGGCUUCACGCAUGCUACAAUGGCCGGUACAAAGGGUUGCGAUACUGUGAGGUGGAGCUAAUCCCAAAAAGCCGGUCUCAGUUCGGAUUGGGGUCUGCAACUCGACCCCAUGAAGUCGGAGUCGCUAGUAAUCGCAGAUCAGCAACGCUGCGGUGAAUACGUUCCCGGGCCUUGUACACACCGAAG